GACUGCAGGCACACGCACCAGCUUCUGCACCUGCACACACAUAGGCCAGAAGAGGGCAUCUGAUUCCAUGGGCUAGCCUGCAGAGUAUAAGGCCAUCAGUCAUCCCAACUUUAGUCUUGCCCCUCUGGUCAGGUGGUUGGCAUUGUCUCUUGAGAGUCCACUCUCCGUAAUUAUUGUCCCUCGGUGUGUGGCGGGGGAAGAUUCACAUACCAAAGCCUUGCGUUCUUGUGCCUGUCCUCGAGUGGACAUCUAGAUUGAAGAUGAACUCAGAACAAAUAAGCCAUUAGCAGUUCUUAAGCUUUAUUCCUACAGAAUUGUUUACCGUACAAGCUAUGAAGUGCGUCUAUCAAUUUUAUUAGCCAGGGGUUACUUUGGGCUGCCUUUGCGUACAAUCAACCGAGAAGAUGGCUGAAGACAGACUAGCCAGGUACAAGCUCCAAUUAGGAAAUGCAGUGUCUGAAUGCAGCUCCGAGGGUUGACAUUAAAAAAGGACUUAUGAGUACUAAUUACUCUAAGUACUUAUGAGGCAAAUUCUGUGUUUGAAUAGUCAAGAUGCAAGCGGAAGAAUUUUAACCCUUUAAAUGGUUGGCUAGUGAUCAAUGGACUACAUUUCCCAUAGUUCCCCAGGCAGUUUCAUUUGCACUUCCCAGAGGGCUGUUCGCCCUUUGCUCUGGCCCUGAGCAUCCGUGGGGAGAAAAAGAGGCGCUGUACUCGUCAGCAUUGUUUAAAUCAAAUAUCGUAUUCUGUCCUUCCUCGUUCCUCUCUUCUGGAUUCUGAUUCUUCACUCGCCGGUUUCCGGAGGCCGGUCAUCGGUGCGGCUCCUCAAAACAGGAAGCCGUGCGUGCCGGAGCAUUCUGGGAGAUGUAGUUUUCGUUCCCUUACAGGCUGCAGCUUGUCUUCCUCCACCUCCUCCCGUCUAGUGACGGCGAGCGCGCGAACAGACGGAUGGCAGCUGUGAGGGUUAGUGACAGGUCUGCGGAAGAGCACCUUGCGGGCCGCCAACGACCGCGAAGCCAAUGAGUUUCCUGUCGCGAGCCCGCCCUGUAACCGGCUUGCCGCGGAGAGCUCUGGGAAAUGUAGUUUUAGGCACGAUCAGCUGCCGUUAGCUGCUGUCCGUGGCGGGGACCGGGGCUCCGCGGCUCCGCAGGUGUUUGCGGCUCGGAUCAACCUUACACGCGUUCCCGAUGUUCUAGCAUUCUUGAUGGUUCGGGAAGCUUCUGGAACACAGGACAGACACCUGUACAAUGGAAACAAGAUCUGCAUCAUGAGCUUCAGAUGUGUUCUUGGAGCCAUGACCAAAGAGCUCACCUCGAAUUGGGACUUUCUGGAAGUUAAUCCAUGAGGGACCUCCAGCAGAAGCUCUGGAGAGGCCUCGCAGCACCCAUGCUGAACAUCGCGGCGCGUUCAGGUACCUUCUGUUGGCUUCAAGAUCUCCUGGAGAGAAAACUGAGCCAUAUCAUUCCUGGGAGAGGAGAUCCAAGCAGGCUGGAAGAGGGAAGAGUGAUCCAGAUGACCUUGAACCCCCGAUCUUCCUGUCUCUACCGCCCAAAUGCUGAGGUCACAGGAGUGCAUCCUUAUGCCAGGUUUAUGUGGUGCUGCGGAUGGAACCCGGGACCCUGUGCGUGCUAGACAAGCGUCCUGUUAACUCAACUGCCUUCCUAAUUUUGAGGACCCAGGGAUUGAACUCAGGCCCUCCAGCUUUGGUGGUAAGUGCCUUUACGCACCGAGCCACCCCACCGGCUCCUCGCAAACUGGUUUGGCCCAGGUCUCCCAAGUGCUGGGAUCGCAGGCCUCCACGGCCGCACCUGGCUCUCUGCCUCACGAGGGCCAUCAAGACCCCUUCUAAAUCGGUCUCCUCCGUCAUGCUUUCCUCCUGUGUGAGCACUUUAGGUCACAAGUGCUCCAAGGCUCCAUCACUGUCCUCGGCCCGUCUUUGCUAUCCUUGUCGUGUGAGAUGGGAGCGCCCCCGGGGCUUCGUCACUGAUGACAAGCAUCCACCCUCUCCCCAGCCGGAACCUUCAGCUGAUGAAUAAGACUUGAUUGUCUUAUGAACCAUCACCACCCCCGCCCGAUUCAUCCCAUUCAAAGGCUUUCACUCCAAAUGGCUCAUGUGACGUUGCUGGGAGCCGUGGGCCCCUCGGAGCUCCACUUCCACACGUGGAGGAUGUGCGCUGUCUCCUGUGAUGGGCUCCAGAGUGAUGAGCUCUGACGUGGGUUCGAGCCUAUUCGGGUGCUGUAUCCACCCUGUGAUUUUCCCCUCUAUGGCUGCUUGCCUCCAUCCAAGGAACAGCCUCCCUCCCUGUAUUCAUCAGGCGUCUCUCCAGUAUGAAUUAUGGAGUGAAUGGAAAUUUUCCCUUAUUCAUCGCAUUCAAAGAUCCUCUCUGCCACGCGAAUUUGUUGGUUAGCUACCGAAUCCCAUCCAAAUGUCUGGGCAGAGCAUGGCCCAGAGUGAGGGCUAGGCUUUAUCUCAGUUUGUUUUCUGUGACUGUCGGAAAUACAUGACCAAAGGCAACUUGGGGAGAAAAGAGUUCAUGGAUUUAUCCUAUAGGUUCAGUCCACCAUAAAGGAAGCCAGGGCAGGAGCUCAGAGCAGGAACCUGAAGGCAGGAACUGAGCAGAGACCAUGGCGGAGUGUGGCUUGCCUCUCCUGCUUUUUUUAUCCAGCUGCUGUUCUCAUACAGUCCAGGACCACCUAUAUAACCCAGGCUGGUCUCGAACUCACCAUUCCCGUCUCAGCCUGCUGCAUGCUGGAAUUACCAGUAAGAGACAGGUGCCCGGCCCUCUGCCCAUCUCUCAAACCUGCCCAAAGCCCACCUCUUCUCGGCAGCCCUCCGGUGAUUCUGUGAGCCACAUUGACACAUUUCUGUGAGAAUUUGAUGUCUACAGAUGCCUUCUUCACCUGCGAUCUAUUUAUACCUUGUUUUUUCCUCCUCUGACAGAUCUAACAUUUGAAGGUGAGCCACAUCUUGUCCUUUGCAUUCUCCAUGGAGCCUUCAAGUGCCAAAACACCGAGGAAGGGUGCUGUGGCUUGGUGACUGUGUGUCACUGUGGACAAUGUGGCCAUUUGCCUUUGAAGAUGAAGCUCGCCUUCUCCAGAUGAUUUUCUGUCUUUCCUUCAAGGUCGCACAGGGAGGCAGGGGAUUUCUUAUUGCUUCUUCUUCCUCCCUGCUCUGCCCACCAGGCAGCCCAGCCACGUUAGCUCUGAAGACAAGUGACAGGAGCCCCCGCUGCCUCCCCUCUGCCAAGGAGAUGGUACUAGUUAGUUGGGUGUUGUGCUAGGACAUAGGAAUGACCUUGGGAAAGGUCACCUGAUGACUAAGCAGGAAUGGGCACUGGUGUGUCUGUUCACCACAUCCAGGGUGUCGGGGAGGCUGGCUCAGGGACCACCCCCAGUGUGAAUUUGGAGCUGUGCUGGCUCAGCUUCCGUGGCACCUAGGUCUGUACCUGUUGAGGACUUAGUGGACAGACAGUAUAUGGAAGUAGCACACAAAAGUGAAGGAAUACACCGAGCUACCCUGCCACCCCCUCCCGACCCCCAUGUAAAGGUCACAUCCCUUCUUUCAGAAUAUGGCUGAGUUCUGGCUCCCACCAAGGAUAGACGCCCCCUUCCCUGUUGGUUAUAAAAAUCUCUUAUCUCAUGUAUAAAAAGGGGUUGGCAAAUGUCACUAAACCUAAGUUCUUAUAUGGCCAAAGCUCCCUUCUGACCUUUUAAAGCAAGCACAUGAAGGGAUAGGGAUGUAGUUCAAUUUGGUAGGGUGCUUGCUUAGUAUGCACGAAGCCUGAGUUCCUUUUGUAGCGCUCUGUAAGACGGGUGUGGUGGAGCAUGGUUGUAAUCCCAGCACUUGGGAGCAUGUGGACAGGUUGCCAAGUGCCAAGGCAGAGGGAAGGGAGUGCCUGCUAGAGGCCACAUAGGAAUCCAUUUGUCUCCAGUGUUCUGUACCACUGUCCUGGAAAUGCAUUUUGUACUAAGCUUCUAGAACAUCCUCUCUAGUUGCCCCUAAGAUCACCAUCCCAAGACCACUUUCCCUAAGAAAUGACAGAAAUGGGUAGAGGGAACAGAAGUAGAGGAAAUGCAUGCUCUUGAAGGAACCAAGGCCUAAGGUGAAAGGUUACCCUAACCCAGGCCCUCCAGGGAGCUGCUGAUGUCCACCCCAAAGAGGGCUGCUGGGAACCUACUCAAGACAGUAGUCGAAAGCUGUAAAGACCCCCCCUCCGUGUCUUGACGGCACACACCAGGAGUCGUAGCUCUUAGGAGACGAGGCAAGGCACUUAAGAGUUCAAAGUGCGGUUGAGGCCAGCCCAGGCAACUUACUUGAAAUCCCUUCUCCAUGCUGCGUUUCCCAUCCCCCUACUUCCCAUUCUGAGGUUACCAGCAGGGCUCCCAGUCUCUCUCUCUCUCUCUCUCUCUCUCUCUCUCUCUCUCUCUCUCUCUCUCUCUCUCUCUCGUUUGUUUUUCGAAAAAGGGUUUCUCUGUGUAACAGCUCUGGCUGUCCUGGAACUCACUCUGUAGACCAGACUGGCCUUGAACUCACAGAGGUCUGCCUGCCUCUGCUUCCUGAGUAAGUGAGAGACUCUCCUAACAGUACCUCACUUGUUAGCACUCACAGUGACCUGGGAGUCCCAUGCAGCGCCUCACUGAAUCUUGUCAACAAGCCUUUGGAAUCUGUCUUUGGGCCAUGCUACAACUGAGGGAAAUAGGUGUGGAGAGCUUUGCUCAGAUCUCUCUCAAAGCCCUACAACUCCUGGGUAGAGGAGCUAGGACUCAAAUGUACACUUCCUAGUAACUAUGCCCAUGAAAGUCCUGGGGUUGGUUGCAGGAGUUUCAAUUCCAUUUGCUGGUUGAAAAUAGCACUGUUUUUACAGUCUCAUCUUUAGCCUGCCCAAACCUAUCCAAUACUUUACAGGUACAUGAGCUCCCUAUAAGAGACAUAAGCUUCUUAUCAGCAGUCGCUAGUGUAUCUGCUGUGGGAAUUGAAGGGACUCUUGAGUUGGGGCAGAUUCAAGAGCCUCUGGUUAUACCAUUGAAUCUGCAAAUCAGGCAUUGUUACGGUUUAUCUCGGCUCCACUCUGUCUGAGACCUUCUUUGGAUUAGCUGGAGAUAGCCAACAUGGUCCAAGUAGGGCUCUGUGUCUGGAGCCUUUGCUCUGCCUGCCAACUGGGUUUCUCCUCUCCCUGUAAAAUCAUCCGGGGCUAAGAUGUCCCUAGUGCCUCUACCUUCGUUUAUGUGUACACUGUCUUCAGAUGAGUAGCUUCAUCUUAUGCUCUGGGCUGUCCGAGCCCACACUAUCAAUAUCCCUCUCCACUGCACUCCACUUUACCUAUCCUACCUCUAGCCAGUAGUACCUAGGUGGCAGAGUCAUAUACUACAAGAUUCUACCUCUGUGCAUGUAUUCUGUUCUUUGGACCAGAGUCUAAUACAGGCUGGCCAGCAACUUUUGAAGUCAUUUGACUCAAAAAUGGAAGGAAAUCCAGUCAGGCUAGGUAAUUUCCCCCUUUUUUUUGAAAUCUGAACCUGAAAUCAGACUGAUUGACAGUAUGUAGCAAGAUGUUAUGAUGGUAAGUAGGGCUUUGAUGGUCCAAUGUUCUGGCCAAACUCACAAUGGAGAAUUUUAAUGAGGAAAUAGGAAAUAAGUCUAUUAUAUAGGGAAAAUCCACUUACUGUGGAAAAGGAAAUAAACCUUUCUUUGGAACAAAGGAAAAGAAGAGAAUGCUCAGAGUAGGGUCAUGGCUAGUAAGCUGCCUCGCUGCCCUGUAGCUCACCAGGCCGUCCUCGCCUGUAUGUGCCGCUGUAGCAAGCUUGUAUUUUUUACUUUUGCUCUUGCUUGACCUAGAAGUGGUCAUGUGACCCAGUUCUGCUAAUACACUUACGGGGAAAUUGUUGGGACCACCUUGCAUCCACGAGGUAACGAGACCAAGGGGGGGACACCCAGAUGAGGAUGACCAGGCAGAUGAGCAAAAGGAGCCAGAGGAACCAUCCCCUUCCAGCCUGCCCUGUGCCAGCCUGCUGUCUCCUGGUUCCCGUCCUGCCUUUGGGGCCUGAAACAGCUCUUCACGGAGCUUCCCUGCCUCCCCGCCCUCACUGCUGCCCUAUGGGUCUCUCUGUGGCUCUAAAUGGAGAAAACAACCCAAGUUGCUGUCUUCCUAAGUGUUGGUGGGAGAAAUGCACCACAGACGGUAGGAAAUGGACACGAACCAUGAAGGGCAGGCUCCGCCACAGCCUAAAGAGCAGGCCCAGUGAUUAGUCAUAACCCUGCAGGCCCCCUGGACACAGAUCAGGAAGGAUGAAUAGUUCUGGAAAUUUCCAUAUGCAUAUGAGCCCAAGUCUUCUCAGCCAGGGCUGAGGCAUAACUUUAAGAAAAAAACAUUUUUUUAGUUAGUGCCUGAGAUCCAGAGCCCAAAGAGUGAGAAAUCAGGAUAGGCCAGGUGAGUAAAUUCUGAAGGCAAUGACCAGGAUCUGCAGCUGGCGGUUGGAGCAGUUUGUGGCAUCCGGAGCCAGCAGGUGCAAAGGCCAUACUCAGGAGGAGACAGCCUUAGUGUUGUUUUAAAAUGGUCCUCUUGGAAAAAAGGCUGUGCCUGCUUCCUCUCUCUCUCUCUCUCUCUCCCCCCCUAACCCCCUUUUUCUUCCUUUGUUCAAGCGAAGAGGGCAGGAGCCGGAAGUGCCGCUGAGCACCUGGAGACGGGGAGGCUGGGGGUGUGGCUCAGUGGGCAGAGUGCUUGCCUAGCAGGCACAGAGCCCUGGCUUGGGUCCCCAGCACUGCCUAAACUAGGCAUGGUAGUACAUGCUUGUAAUCCUACCCCUUGGGAGGUGGAGGACAAGUCCGAGAUCAUUGGAGAAGCUGAACUCAAGGCCGGGCCCGUCCUCUUUGAAACUCUGUUUUCUAAAUUCAAAAGCCAGGCUUCUCCUGGAGCCUCAAUAUACUCGUCACGUCACCCCCAUUAUAAGCAGACUCUAGAAAAAGCCACCCUCCCUCUGGGGCAGCUCAGAAUAACCCCAGGGGCCCAGCCAGGGCUGCGUUAAAUCAGUGAGAAGCUGUGACGUAGACACCGGCCCUCAGGACAUGCCUGUGUGCCCCUGUGUAUACACUGUGUAUAUGGAGCUGGGCCCCAAAUGCCAAGGCCAGUAGCUCGCAUCUGUCUCUUGUAGACUCCAUUCGCUCAAUGGGAAUAGGCUAAAACCAGCAAAGUGGAUCUCAGCUUAUAAAAGGGACAAGGAAGAUGAGUCACCAGAGAGGGGAAAAAAACCAAACCAAACCAAACCAAACCUCCUGUGAGGUGGAAAAGGAGUGAAGGCUGGGUCGGGAGCUGAACCGGCAAAAAGAAGCAUUUCUAUGUGUGCCUUGUGACAAGUCAGGGCCUCCCCCUCCCCAAUAUUUUUUUGUAUGUACAGAACCAGAGAUUGAACCUUGGACCUCACAUAUUCUGGAAAGUGCUCUCUCACUGAGCCACACCCCAGCCCCUCACUGGGAGAUUCUAGACAGGUGCUCUAACCACUGAGCCACACCCCAGCCCCUCACUGGGGGAUUCUAGGCAGGGGCCCUACCACUGAGCCACACCCCAGCCCUCUUUUGACUUUUGAUUUUGAGACAAGGUCUUACUGAGUUGCCUAGGCUGGCCUGAAUCUCACUCCCAUCCUUCCUCCUGCUCAGCCCCCUGAGUCACUGGAAUUAUAGACUUGCCAAAGCUAUUGCUGACACUUUUUAACCCAAAGUCUCCCCCCACCCUCGCCCCCACCCCCAGAAAGCCUCCCUACAGAGAUCACGGCUUUGUAGUCUCUUAAAUCCAAUAAAGGGAAGCAGGAGCUUUCCCCUGACCCUCCACAUGAGGGCUUUACACCAUGCAGCCAUGGGGUGAUGUGUUCGAGCCUCUCCCUCAACCUUCACGGGUUUCUUUCCUGUGGUCUCUGAUGAGAAGCACCGGGCCAUCUCUGCUUGCCAGUUUCUCUUGUAACUUCCUCUCCAAACACACUCCCCACCACUUCUCACAAGUGCUCUGUCGUGUCCAUGUCCCUCACUGGUGACCAGUUUAGGGUUCAGAUGACUUAGCUAAUGGUGUCUGGAAUGAAAGAGCUGGUACAGUCAGUAGAUUAGGAUUCUGACCAAAGGUUCUUCACCACCCAUUGUCUCCCCAGGGUCUCUGUCUGCAAGCAAACCCCAGCAGUCUAACAGCUGCAAGGCCCUAGUGAGCGGGAUUCAUUGACAUGCCCUCACGAGCAUGGCGCUUUUCUCCAGUGUGAAUUCUCUGACGUUGAAUGAGUUUCGUGGCCUUGAAAGCCCUCAGGUAGUCACUGUGGUGGGUUUCUGUUGCGUGGAAAGUAGCCAGGGUGUGUGGGGAUGCUGGCCGAUGCCUCCUACAUCCCCAGGAUUCUCUCCAAGGUGGAUGUUGCUACGAUGUUGAGAAGGUUGGGAGCCUCCGGGAAAACUGCUUUGUACGUACAACAGUUGCCGCCGUUCCGACGGUACCAACACUGUGAUAUGGAAUAAACUGGAUUCUGACAUGA
Molecule: long non-coding RNA, 8496 nt
Organism: Peromyscus californicus insignis
Lineage: Eukaryota; Metazoa; Chordata; Mammalia; Rodentia; Cricetidae
Exons: 5
Source: RefSeq, a predicted model, not a curated record